GGGGGAUGUAGCUCAGUGGUUCAAUCCCAGUCAGUACCACACACACACACACAAAAAAAUGAUACCCCUCAAUACUAAGUGAACAGUUGACUUACUGAAAUGAAAUAUCUUGUUGUGUGUCUUUUCCAGAUUUUCCUCUUUCAGCGGAUGUCAUUGACAGGUCAGAAAAUUACACAGAAUAAUAGCGAGCCACUCCCAGAUAUAAAACCAAUAGGAGAUCAAAUAACUUUACAAAGCAAUAAGAAAGAUGCAAGCCAGAACCACAUGGGACAAAACCUUCAGGAUACUUCACCAACUAUGGAGGCAAAGUCAAAAUCCUGUACAAUACUAUAAAUAUACAUUUAUGUUUUCAUGAUCACUGAGCACAUUCAUAAUUUAUACUUGAAAAAAUGGUAUGACUUCUGAAGGAAAUUUUCUGAUAAAAGACUUUUAAAAAUAUAAGUUAAUAUGUUUGGACCUGUUUAAAUAGUACGACCAGUUUUGAUAUUUAUUUAUGCUAAUUUUUAACAGCAGUUUCAAAAUAUGUACAUCUCAAACUCUUAAAAAAAGUGUUGUGGCCUUAACUGUUCAGUGUUUCAUAAAACAAUAUAUUUUUAUAUGUGAAAACUGAAUUGAGAUUUCAUAAUUUUUACUAAACAGGUUUACAUCUUUAUAAUUUCAUAAGACAAAUGUUUGCAAUCUUAUGACACUAACAGUUUUAAUGUAUUUGCACUUUUUAAAAACUGAAACAAAAUUGUAAUGAUUUAUUUUAAUAAACUUUGGUCGGUUCUGCUGUGAAAAUGGAUGAGUAUGAAUAAAAU
RNAcentral lists this long non-coding RNA (800 nucleotides) under Marmota monax (woodchuck). Lineage: Eukaryota; Metazoa; Chordata; Mammalia; Rodentia; Sciuridae. The record is from RNAcentral.